ACUAAUCCUCGUUAGGUGAGGCUACUGUAUGAACAUAGUCCACUGCCCGGAAAUGUCGAGAGACGCCAACGGGUAGAACAAGCACUGCCGGAUUAAGGCUUUGUUUAAGGUGGAUGAGUUGAUAACUCUACGUCAUACAGUGUCAAAGCUCAAUGAGUUGAGGAAGGUG
This 169-nucleotide small RNA is filed under the name Desulfobacter sp. Its description in RNAcentral is "Desulfitibacter sp. Magnesium sequence". It matches the Rfam family "M-box riboswitch aptamer (ykoK leader)". From Rfam's summary of the family: M-box riboswitch, also know as ykoK leader is described as a metaloregulatory RNA that sense divalent metals and function as a genetic control element of genes related to divalent metal transport in bacteria. It was first reported upstream of the B.subtilis ykoK gene and genes with related functions in other bacteria. The record is from RNAcentral. Lineage: Bacteria; Pseudomonadati; Thermodesulfobacteriota; Desulfobacteria; Desulfobacterales; Desulfobacteraceae.